UACGAAGGGGGCUAGCGUUGCUCGGAAUUACUGGGCGUAAAGGGCGCGUAGGCGGCGUCGGUAGUCAGGCGUGAAAUCCCUGGGCUCAACCUGGGGGCUGCGCUUGAUACGCCGAUGCUAGAGGACGGAAGAGGCUCGCGGAAUUCCCAGUGUAGAGGUGAAAUUCGUAGAUAUUGGGAAGAACACCGGUGGCGAAGGCGGCGAGCUGGUCCGUUUCUGACGCUGAGGCGCGACAGCGUGGGGAG
This 245-nucleotide ribosomal RNA is filed under the name uncultured Belnapia sp. RNAcentral describes it as "partial 16S ribosomal RNA". It matches the Rfam family "Bacterial small subunit ribosomal RNA", at positions 524 to 768 of the family's 1533-position model. Lineage: Bacteria; Pseudomonadati; Pseudomonadota; Alphaproteobacteria; Acetobacterales; Roseomonadaceae. The record is from RNAcentral.